RNAcentral lists this unclassified non-coding RNA (344 nucleotides) under soil metagenome. Its description in RNAcentral is "partial contains 5.8S ribosomal RNA, internal transcribed spacer 2, and large subunit ribosomal RNA". The stretch from base 1 to 119 matches the Rfam family "5.8S ribosomal RNA", at positions 35 to 154 of the family's 154-position model. The record is from RNAcentral.
GAUGAAGAACGCAGCGAAAUGCGAUACGUAUGUGAAUUGCAGAAUUCAGUGAAUCAUCGAGUCUUUGAACGCACAUUGCGCCCCCUGGUAUUCCGGGGGGCAUGCCUGUCCGAGCGUCAUUGCUGCCCUCAAGCACGGCUUGUGUGUUGGGCCUCCGUCCUCCUCCCGGGGGACGGGCCCGAAAGGCAGCGGCGGCACCGCGUCCGGUCCUCGAGCGUAUGGGGCUUCGUCACCCGCUCUUGUAGGCCCGGCCGGCGCUUGCCGACACAUCAAUCUUUUUUCCAGGUUGACCUCGGAUCAGGUAGGGAUACCCGCUGAACUUAAGCAUAUCAAUAAGCGGAGGA